Small nucleolar RNA from Rhododendron vialii, 108 nucleotides. RefSeq annotates it as small nucleolar RNA snoR100. The record is from RefSeq and is a predicted model, not a curated record. NCBI's taxonomy places the organism in Eukaryota, Viridiplantae, Streptophyta, Magnoliopsida, Ericales, Ericaceae. The transcript has a single exon.
CAAUAAAAGAAGCACGGUAAUGUGCACAUAAAUUGAAUUGGGUCUCGAGGCUUGUCUUCUCUAAUGCCAUUUGGCUUUGAUUUGGGGACAUGCUUCCGUAGCAAAACA